GAUGAAGAACGUAGCGAAAUGCGAUAAGUAAUGUGAAUUGCAGAAUUCAGUGAAUCAUCGAAUCUUUGAACGCACAUUGCGCCCGCCAGUAUUCUGGCGGGCAUGCCUGUUCGAGCGUCAUUUCAACCAUCAAGCCCCAGGCUUGUGUUGGGGACCUGCGGCUGCCGCAGGCCCUGAAAACCAGUGGCGGGCUCGCUGUCACACCGGGCGUAGUAGAUUUUAUCUCGCUCUGGGCGGGCUGCGGGUUCCGGCCGUUAAAAAACCCUUUUAACCCAAGGUUGACCUCGGAUCAGGUAGGAAUACCCGCUGAACUUAAGCAUAUCAAUAAGCGGAGGA
This 336-nucleotide unclassified non-coding RNA is filed under the name soil metagenome. RNAcentral's name for it is "partial contains 5.8S ribosomal RNA, internal transcribed spacer 2, and large subunit ribosomal RNA". The stretch from base 1 to 120 matches the Rfam family "5.8S ribosomal RNA", at positions 35 to 154 of the family's 154-position model. The record is from RNAcentral.